AUUCCAGCUCCAAUAGCGUAUAUUAAAGUUGUUGCAGUUAAAAAGCUCGUAGUUGGAUUUCUGGUUUCACAGAACUGGCCUACUUCCUCAAGGUCGUGUGCGCCGUGUUUUGUGUACCAUCCUUCUAGAAAUUGUGUUCCAUCCCUUCACUGGGAUAGAUCCGAGAUCUAGAUCUUUUACUUUGAAGAAAUUAGAGUGUUCAAAGCAGGCUCGCGCUGUGAAUACAUUAGCAUGGAAUAAUAAUUUAGGACUUGGUAUCCUAUUUUGUUGGUUUUCAGGAUCUAAGUAAUGAUUGAUAGGGAUAGUUGGGGGUGCUAGUAUUUUGCGGCCAGAGGUGAAAUUCUUGGAUUAGUUAAAGACUAACGUAUGCGGAAGCAUUUGCCAAGGAUGUUUUCAUCG
RNAcentral lists this ribosomal RNA (399 nucleotides) under Cercozoa sp. RNAcentral's name for it is "partial small subunit ribosomal RNA". It matches the Rfam family "Eukaryotic small subunit ribosomal RNA", at positions 582 to 975 of the family's 1831-position model. Lineage: Eukaryota; Cercozoa. The record is from RNAcentral.